GAGAUCAAUGCAAGGGAAGAUCAUUGCGAUUUCAAUCUAGGACCCUGUACUGGGUUCAACUUAAAAUUCAUAAGCAAAAUCUCUGACUCUCCACUGGUGUACACCAAGGUCUUCUACCAAAUCUCCUGAACCCCUCUUGCACAAGUUCUUCGAUCAAUGUAGAGAGAGGAAAGAGCGAGGUAGAGAAGAGAAAGAGGGAAAAGAGAGAUAGGAG
RNAcentral lists this long non-coding RNA (214 nucleotides) under Elaeis guineensis (African oil palm). RNAcentral describes it as "long non-coding RNA (EGUI_LNC058764)". The record is from RNAcentral. Lineage: Eukaryota; Viridiplantae; Streptophyta; Magnoliopsida; Arecales; Arecaceae.